RNAcentral lists this ribosomal RNA (400 nucleotides) under uncultured bacterium. Its description in RNAcentral is "bacterial SSU rRNA". It matches the Rfam family "Bacterial small subunit ribosomal RNA", at positions 356 to 773 of the family's 1533-position model. The record is from RNAcentral.
GGGGAAUAUUGGACAAUGGGCGAAAGCCUGAUCCAGCCAUGCCGCGUGAGUGAUGAAGGCCCUAGGGUUGUAAAGCCCUUUCACCGGGGAAGAUAAUGACGGUACCCGGAGAAGAAGCCCCGGCUAACUUCGUGCCAGCAGCCGCGGUAAUACGAAGGGGGCUAGCGUUGUUCGGAAUUACUGGGCGUAAAGCGCACGUAGGCGGACUGGUCAGUUAGGGGUGAAAUCCCGGGGCUCAACCCCGGAACUGCCUUUAAUACUGCCAGUCUAGAGUUCGAGAGAGGUGAGUGGAAUUCCGAGUGUAGAGGUGAAAUUCGUAGAUAUUCGGAGGAACACCAGUGGCGAAGGCGGCUCACUGGCUCGAUACUGACGCUGAGGUGCGAAAGCGUGGGGAGCAAAC